UACACAUACAGACACACACACCUGCACACACACACCCCAAACUCAUGGACCUUAGGGUUCACUCCUUGGAGUGCAGUGGGGCACACGUCCUCCACACCCUCUUGAUGGAGGAUUUGGCAUGACUGCAGCAUGAACAUUGUGGAAAGGCUCUGUCUCAACCUCCUGUCUGUGCUUCCAGGACGGCCUCAAUUUGUCUGGUGGCACAAAGGCAAAGUGGAAAAAGCUGCUCAUAUUCCUGGACUCUGCUGAAGAAGCAAUCUGCUCCAAGAAGCGCCUUCUGAUUGCCUGCCCCACCCUCUGCCCAGGCUAACGUGGAUGCCACUGCUUUCUGGCCACUCUUCUAUCAAAACAUGCAAGCUGUUCUCUUUCCAUUGCUCUUUGGCUCUGCCUCUGGAACCUCACUUUGAAUCCCUCGGGACAACAAAGUCAGACUGGCUGGACUCACAUCUGCCUCCACCAUUGACCAACUGGGUGGCUGUGAGCAAGUUACUUAUAUUCAGCGUGCCUCAGUCUUCUCACCUGCAAAAUGGGUAUAAAAUAGUUCCCAUUCAUGCUAAUGAAAUGAGAUAAUCCAGGCAAAGAGCUUAUAAUGGUUUCCAAAAAGUGUUCAAUUAUUAUUGUUGUUGUUGUUAUCAUUGUUAUUUUCUGUAUUUCUGACAAGUAGUGCAGUUCUUGAUGUUGAAUGAACCGCUGACAAUGUUCACACACACACAAACACACACACACACGCACUUGCCCAAGUGUUAAACUUUGGUUCUCUCCUCUGACUCAUUCUUUGUGCCCAGUCCAUCAUAAGGUCCCAUUGGGUCGUUCUUCAGCACACCUGUCAAAAACCACUGGCAUAGUGCAGGAUUUAGUUUUAUUCACAACAGUAUCUUCAGGGCCUGACACAAAA
This is a non-coding RNA of Chlorocebus sabaeus (green monkey), 895 nucleotides long. The record is from RefSeq and is a predicted model, not a curated record. Lineage: Eukaryota; Metazoa; Chordata; Mammalia; Primates; Cercopithecidae.